AUGGAUCCGGACGAGGUGAAGUCGAAGCUCCAAGGCCUGGCCUUCGGCAACGUCCUGGCCGCCGCCGCCCGCGACUACAAGAAGGAAGUUAUAGCUAAAGAGAAGGCUCAAGCAGCACCUGCCAUCCACGAUGAAGUCGAUCUUGAUGAGUUACUGGAUGACCCAGAGCUUGAGAAAUUGCAUGCUGAACGGCUUGCUGCUCUUAAGAGAGAGGUCGAGAAGCGUGAGGUGCUAAAGAGGCAAGGUCAUGGUGAAUACAGGGAAAUAACUGAAGGGGACUUCUUAGGAGAGGUCACUUGUGGUGACAAGGUCAUCUGUCAUUUCUACCAUCGUGAAUUUUACCGCUGCAAGUAA
This 354-nucleotide ribosomal RNA is filed under the name Triticum aestivum (bread wheat). Its description in RNAcentral is "partial small subunit ribosomal RNA". Lineage: Eukaryota; Viridiplantae; Streptophyta; Magnoliopsida; Poales; Poaceae. The record is from RNAcentral.